RNAcentral lists this long non-coding RNA (243 nucleotides) under Setaria viridis. RNAcentral describes it as "long non-coding RNA (SVIR_LNC007418)". Lineage: Eukaryota; Viridiplantae; Streptophyta; Magnoliopsida; Poales; Poaceae. The record is from RNAcentral.
UUUGUAGGAUGUCAUUGAUUGCAUGCCAGUUUUGGUUUUCCAGUUUUGAUUUUCAGGAACUUCUAGGUGGAGUUCUAGGCACAAGUUAAGCCGGUCAAAGUGCUGAGCUGCUUAUGGAUUAUAUUCAGCUAGGAUAUGUAUAAUGUGUUUCUAUUGUGAUGCCUUUAAUGUCACAUUCUGGACUUUCAUUAUAUAAAUGUAAUAUUAUUCAUAAAUAUGAAUGCAGAAGAUGUCUAUAUAUAU